GACGAAGGGGGCUAGCGUUGUUCGGAAUUACUGGGCGUAAAGCGCGUGUAGGCGGUUGUCCAAGUCGGGUGUGAAAGCCUUGAGCUCAACUCAAGAAAUGCACUCGAUACUGGGCGACUCGAGUGCCGGAGAGGAUAGUGGAAUUCCCAGUGUAGUGGUGAAAUACGUAGAGAUUGGGAAGAACACCAGAGGCGAAGGCGGCGACCUGGACAGGUACUGACACUCAACUACGAAAGCGUGGGGAGCAAACAGG
RNAcentral lists this ribosomal RNA (253 nucleotides) under uncultured bacterium. RNAcentral describes it as "partial 16S ribosomal RNA". It matches the Rfam family "Bacterial small subunit ribosomal RNA", at positions 524 to 776 of the family's 1533-position model. The record is from RNAcentral.